Molecule: ribosomal RNA, 253 nt
Filed under: uncultured bacterium
Lineage: Bacteria
Description: partial 16S ribosomal RNA
Rfam family: Bacterial small subunit ribosomal RNA
Source: RNAcentral
UACGAAGGGGGCGAGCGUUGUUCGGAAUUACUGGGCGUAAAGGGCGCGUAGGCGGCCUUGUCAGUCAGAAGUGAAAGCCCCGGGCUCAACCUGGGAAUGGCUUUUGAUACUGCAGGGCUUGAGUUCCGGAGAGUGUGGUGGAAUUCCCAGUGUAGAGGUGAAAUUCGUAGAUAUUCGGUGGAACACCAGUGGCGAAGGCGACUCGCUGGACUGAUACUGACGCUGAGGCACGAAAGCGUGGGGAGCAAACAGG